This 1874-nucleotide long non-coding RNA is filed under the name Marmota monax (woodchuck). Lineage: Eukaryota; Metazoa; Chordata; Mammalia; Rodentia; Sciuridae. The record is from RNAcentral.
UCUUUCAAUACCUGGAAGCAACCCUUUGUCUCAAACCAGAGGAAAUGCAUUAUACCUGCAUAGACUGAAAGAAGAGACUAAGUUUUAUUCUUUAACAAGUCCAGUAAGUUAAAAAGGUCUGUGUAGUUCCUGCUAUAGCCUUCAUCUGAAUUUCUCUGCCUUGUUUUUCUCAACCGGAAAAAGAAAGACAGCUUGGGAAUAUCUCAUAUUAAAUUAGAAAAAUUCUGUGGCUAAGCUCCUUAAGUAAAGGAGUUCAUUUUCGCUUGCAUUUCCCAAAGAAGAUUGAAGUGCUUCCUCCCCACCCCAUUAGCAAUGUACAGUAGCACUUCCUUAAGUGCAGGUUAGAGAGAAAUUAAGGGAUUCCUGGACAAGAAACUAAUGGAAUGCAGGCAAAAAGUCCAUCACUUCCCUGGAUUUCCACUUACAUGAAUAUAAAAGAGUCUAAUACAAGUAUUGGAAACCGAUAAUGGAAUAUAUGAAAGGGUGGCACCAAUUUGCUAGAAUUAUUGUUGGUUGUGGCACAGAGAGGUCUGAAAUGGAGGACAGACUCAUAUGAAUCCAGGCUCUCCAUCUGAAGACUGGAAAGUCAAGAAGGAGAGCUCUUGGAAGAACCUCCUCCCCAUUCCCUAUUUAGAAGGAUUAGUGAUGUGAUAGCCUGACCGAGGGUGACAAGGAGAGGACAUGUACCCCAGUGACAUGCCACACUCUGUGGGGCAAAGGAUGCUUUUAUUCCUGGCUUACAAGGAACACAGACAUCUGUUGCAAAGAGCCUCAUCUGGCUCCUCAUGAGGACAAACAUGCCAAACAGAACUGGGGCACUGCUGCAGCUAAUUCCUGGCUGCUCAACAAACACAGGAGCUCAGCUCCAGCCUGAGGACUGUUCUUCCCUCUGUCACUGCCUCUGGCUUUAGUUCUGGCUUAGUGACCUUUGACUCAAUGACCCAGGCUGGUUAGUAUUUAUACUCUUAAUGAAAAAUAACAUUAAAUCUAAAUCUUUACUUUUUAUCUUGAGUUUAAAGAUUUGGACAAAGAUCCAAAAAAUCUUUGACAGACUCAAUCUCAAUUCCCCAAACUAAACAAGUAGAGAUGACCCUUUUAGGGUGGGAAAACUGAUGAAAUCCAUUAGAGAGAUGCACAGAUAUUGCUGCUUAAAAAGGUGUCAGGAUGAAGAACCAGAUCAAAUGCCUUCUUAUGAACUAUUGUUACUGUUAAAAACAGAGGGGAAAAGUAGUUUUAAAUUUGUGAUAUUAACAUGAUAGGGAAGUGGUUAUUAAGUGUACAUAAAUAAGCAAGGUGAUCAUGAAGAAAACUGAGGUCAGGAAAAAAAGCAUAGGAAAAAAUUCCGAUUUCCAUACUUGAAACCUAAAUAAAAAUAGUACAUAAAACCUAAAUAAAUAUGGUACAUAUACAUAAUGAAAUACUAUCCAGCUAUAAAAAGAAGAAAACUCCUUAAUUUACAACGAUAUGGAUGGAACUGGAGAUAAUUAUGGUGAAUACAGAAAGACAAGUACUGGGUUAUCUCAUUCAUGUGGAAUCUAAAAAUGAUCUCACAGAAGGGAGUAGAAUGCUAGCUUCCAGAGGCUGGAGAAUGGGGGUGGGAUGGGGGCAGGUUGAUCAAUGGGUAUUAAGUUACAGUUAGACAGGAGCAAGAGGUUCUGGUGUGCUAUUGUACAGUAGGGUGACUAUAGACAACAAUAAUAUACUGUACACUAAAAAACAAGAAAGGAUUUUGAAAGUUUUCACCACCAAUAAAUGGUAUAGGUUUGAGGAGAUAGAUGCUCAACCUUAUUCAAACGAUAUCCAAUGUAUAUAUGUAUCAAACAUUACAUGGCACCUCAUUAACAUGUAUAAUUUUCAUGUUUUGUGUAUCAAUA